GCAAACAAAAUGCACACCAAACUUAAAGAUAGGAAGCAAACCAUAAAGCAGGAGCAAAUUUAAAACAGGGAUAUCAGAUAAAAAUGUUGUUUGUUUAGCAUAUCAAAUAAGGAGAGAGAGAAAACUAAAGGAGUUAACCCUCCACAUCUAUCAAGACAACUGGAGCACUGGGCCAGCAGCUCUUAUUAAAUAUCACCAGGGACAGCAAAGGUGAAACGCCUUUCAUCUAACGAGAUGAACAAGCCAGCACAGAUGUAACACGUACUGACUAACGAGGAACAGGGGACAACGUCACAGUAGUGUAUGAUCUGGAUGUGACUGACGUGUCACAGCGGGAGGAGAUUGUCAUUAUCCACGCCCUCAGAUACUGGACAGCGUCGCCAAGGAUACAAUGGAAGAAGCCACUGCUCCAAAACCGCCAUAAAAAAGCCAGACUAAGGUUUGCAACUGCACAAGGGGACAAAGAUCGUACUUUUUGGAGAUAUGACCUUUGGUCUAAUGAAA
Long non-coding RNA from Oncorhynchus mykiss (rainbow trout), 504 nucleotides. RefSeq lists it as uncharacterized. NCBI's taxonomy places the organism in Eukaryota, Metazoa, Chordata, Actinopteri, Salmoniformes, Salmonidae. The record is from RefSeq and is a predicted model, not a curated record.